UGGCGCCCGAACAGGGACCUGGAAACGAGGGACUCCGUGAGGAAGAGGACGCCAAAGGACGGUCGACUGCUAACGAAGACAAAAGGAGUCAAACUCUUCCGAUCACUGCGGGAACCUGCCGCGUCAGAAUCGAAGGUAAGUGACGCGUCCGAAAUGGGACAAGAAUUAAGCCAACAUCAAAUAUAUGUAGGACAAUUAAAAGAGGCUUUAAAGAUACGAGGAGUAAAGGUUAAAGGUAAUGAUUUGUUUAAAUUUUUUGAUUUUGUAAAAGACACUUGCCCUU
Macaca mulatta (Rhesus monkey) is the source of this 283-nucleotide non-coding RNA. The record is from Rfam. NCBI's taxonomy places the organism in Eukaryota, Metazoa, Chordata, Mammalia, Primates, Cercopithecidae.